RNAcentral lists this long non-coding RNA (1185 nucleotides) under Monodelphis domestica (gray short-tailed opossum). RNAcentral's name for it is "lncRNA (ENSMODG00000041555.1)". Lineage: Eukaryota; Metazoa; Chordata; Mammalia; Didelphimorphia; Didelphidae. The record is from RNAcentral.
UAGUGCUCAAGAGGAGGACUGGUGAAAGCCUCAAGGUGAUGGAGUAUUGGAGAUUGAAUAGACUAAGUCAAUGAUGGUGAACCUAUAGCAUGGGUGCAAAAGAUGGCACACAGAGCACUCUCUGUGGGCACAGGACUGCCCCCUCCCCCAAGAGUUCAUUACUAGAAAUACAGAAGGACUUGGAUGGAGCUGCUCCCCUCCCCCUCUAACCUUAUGACAUUUUUUUUCACACCCCCCACCCCUCUGCCCAGCAGCCCAAUGGAAACACACAAAGGAUAAGUUGGGCAGUUCAUAGUCAGCAGAACUAGAGAGAAGCAAAGUACUUGGACCACUCUCCUUCUCCUUUCUACACUGGCUGAGGACAUUCCUCACUUCACCCACCCCUCUGACCAGCAGCUGUAAAGGGUGAAAUUAUGGUUGAGACUGAAAAAAAUCUAAAUUUAAGUGGUCGUCAAAGGAAAUCCCAAAUAAUAAAAUACCCAAGUCAGCUGCCAAAUUUUAUGGUGAUUUAAUUGAUAUAGUAGAGAAGAUUUUAAGAAGGAGGAAGGAAGGGACUAGUACCGGGCAGGAAGAUAGGAGAUCUAGAAAGUAAGGUUUUGAGUGUGAAGGAGGAAAGAAUCAGCUUGACCUCCAAAGAGGCUUAGCUAAGAUGCCUGAACCUGAAAUCAACUCCAGGGCAAACUCACCACCCAACACUCCAAGAUGUCGGAACGCUUAGCACGCUGCCAGUCAGAGUCAUCUCUCCAAGGAAAGAGAGAGAGGCAGCCUGUGACGUGCCUUAUAUGGACAUUUUUACAUCACUUUUAUGCAUCUCAUCUGUACCAAUGAGGACUUAGCUUGACUUAGGACAGCCCAAAGUAAAGAAUUCUGCCCCUAGCCUUAAUUAUGAAAGAUGCCUGACACUGGAUCCCUUCAAAGUUUUAUGACCUCCACCUCUGCAAAAAAAAGGAGGAAGAAGAAGAAUAAGGAGGAGGAGGAGGAAGAAGAAGAGGAGGAGGAGGAGAAGAAGGAAGAUGACUUUUAAAAAAAUAUUGAUUUAAAAAAACAUUAUAAAGGGAGAAUUACAUAGUAUGAUGGUAAUAGAGAAUUGAAUUACUGGAAAUAUGGAGGAAGGAGUGAUUAAUGUGAAUGAGGGUUUCUUCCCUAUUCAAUAAACCCCAGUAAGAAAUAGAAAUUUCUCUUGUU